Long non-coding RNA from Homo sapiens (human), 1622 nucleotides. RefSeq annotates it as long independently transcribed non-coding RNA 2725. The record is from RefSeq and is marked validated. Lineage: Eukaryota; Metazoa; Chordata; Mammalia; Primates; Hominidae. The transcript has 6 exons.
AGAGGAUGGAAUGCUUCACCAGGAGACACAAGAAUAAUUUCCUUGACCUGGGAGUUAAGACUGCCACCCAGCCACCUUGUGCUCUCCAUGCUGCUGAUUCAACAGGCAAAUAAGGAAGUUAUGGUGUGGGCUACAGUGAUUGAUCUGACUAACAAGAGGGAAAUUGCUCCACCAUGGGGGUGAGGGAGAGUACAUCUGGAAUACAGAAGUUCCCUUAGGACACCCUUAGUGUUCCCACACAUUGCGAUUAAGGCCAGUGGAAAACUACAAUAACUCAGUUCAGGCGGAACAACUCAUGGGGCAGAAUCUUCAAGGAAUGAAGAUUUGAGUCCUUCUACCAGGUUUUGCAGAGUGCCUCCAGAAAUAAAAGUGUUACAAAAGAAUCACUUCAGAAAACCUACACUUAGAGAGUCCAUUUGAAAAUUGCCCUAUUUGAAAUGAAGUGGAGAUCAGUAAUAACAAGGACUUCCCCAUAUAACCCAAGGUCCUACUGGGUUAGUGUGAUCUUCUGCGGAAGGCUGCAGCUGCUGUCAGGAGGCCCUCUGUCUACACUCCUCUCUGGAGAAGUGUCCCUUUUAAACUGAAGCAUAGUGAGAACAAGUGUAAAGCACAACACAGACGGAAGAUUGCACCUUAGCUCACUGCCCCGUGCACCCCGGUUACACCGUCUAAGAAAACACUCUGGAUUCAAUCCUUGGAAAAUUUGUCUCCAUGAGGUCAUACAGCUGCUUGAGGUUGCUCGGAGAGUAAGAAGCAGAAUGAGAACUAGAACAGAAGCUCACUUUGGCCUGAAGGCUCAUGUGCUGAGCAUCUUCCCUUGUCUGUCUCCACCCCUAGCCUGGUGCCCAGCAUGUAGAAGACCUUCAUCCUAGAUGCAAUGGGAUUAAACUUGGAGAAAAUGGGAUUAAACUUGGACAAACACUACCUAUUUGGACUUGUGAUGAUGGCUUUCAAACUUCUUAAAGCAAUGAAGUAUUUUUUCCAGAAGAAACCUUACACAAGAAGCCCAGCACACUGAGUCAAGCAUAUGUAGGUGGAAGAUAUCUGGUUGAGACCAAGUAGAGAUAAACCUGUAGAUUCAACUGUGCCACCACAGUGAAUUCUAAGAAUCCACUGACUGUGAUCUGUAAGCUCCUACUCCACAGGAGGUCAGGGCACACAGCUUGAAACCGGAAGGCAGAAGAGUGACAGGGAAGGGUCAUGGACUCUGAAAUUAGAGCUAUCUGUGUUUUAAUACUAGUUCCAAUAGGCACAUGGUCUUGGAUAAAUGGUUUAAAUUAUCUGAGUCUCAAUUUCUUUCUCUGCAAAAAGGGAUGAUUAGUACAUAUGUAAUAGGGUUUUUAUAGAAAAUUGUAUAACUUGUUAAACACACAUGUACUAAGUGCUUGGUGCCCAGUAUGCACUGAAUAAAUGCUAGCUCCUUGCCUUUCAUCUCUAUGACCCUUCCCAAAUCUCUCAGCCCCAUAUUGCUUCAUGUAGUGUGUGUAUAUUUGGGAAAAUUUGUGUGCAUAUUUACAGAUGGGAUCCUACUCUUCUAUUGACAGACUGUCUUUUCAGAUGUGCCUUACUUUCAUUGCAUUGGUUUUUCAACUGAAAGUGAACAUAAAGGUUUUAAGCAUGCC